ACGGAAGGCAGCAGUGAGGAAUAUUGGUCAAUGGUCGGAAGACUGAACCAGCCAUGCCGCGUGCAGGAAUGAGGCCCUAUGGGUCGUAAACUGCUUUUGUGGUGGAGCAAUAAGGCGUACGCGUACGCCGAUGAGAGUACAUCACGAAUAAGCAUCGGCUAACUCCGUGCCAGCAGCCGCGGUAAUACGGAGGAUCCGAGUGUUAUCCGGAUUUAUUGGGUUUAAAGGGUGCGUAGGCGGAGGAUCAAGUCAGUGGUGAAAUGGUGCGGCUCAACCGUAGCAUUGCCGUUGAAACUGGUUUUCUAGAGUGCGAAUGAGGUGGGCGGAAUGUGUCAUGUAGCGGUGAAAUGCAUAGAUAUGACACAGAACACCGAUUGCGAAGGCAGCUCACUGGGACGCAACUGACGCUGAGGCACGAAAGUGCGGGGAUCGAACAGGAUUAGAUACCCUGGUA
RNAcentral lists this ribosomal RNA (454 nucleotides) under uncultured Porphyromonadaceae bacterium. RNAcentral's name for it is "bacterial SSU rRNA". It matches the Rfam family "Bacterial small subunit ribosomal RNA", at positions 341 to 792 of the family's 1533-position model. Lineage: Bacteria; Pseudomonadati; Bacteroidota; Bacteroidia; Bacteroidales; Porphyromonadaceae. The record is from RNAcentral.